AGAGUAAAACUGAUUUUCCAAGCAAGCUGUUUGAAAGAGAAAGAAAUACUUCAUUUGUGAAUGGAUUUCUAUUUAUGAUUUCAAACAUGACUGAGGAAAAUAUAUAUUAUACCUUAGGAAAUGAAUUUACCACUUGGUCAACUUGCAUUUUGGAAAGAUGUGCAGGCUUUAUCGUAUAUCCCUUAACGUUGAUAGUGAUUUUGAUAAUUUUAUAUUAUCCCCUUGUGUUUGCAUUGUUUGAAAUGUAUGUCCUCAGUGCAAUACUUUUUGUAUGGAAAAAAAUUGGCAAUCUGCCAGAAGAUAUCGAUAGC
Non-coding RNA from Notechis scutatus (mainland tiger snake), 311 nucleotides. NCBI's taxonomy places the organism in Eukaryota, Metazoa, Chordata, Lepidosauria, Squamata, Elapidae. The record is from RefSeq and is a predicted model, not a curated record.